GUGAUUAUAGUUCAGUUGGUUAGAGCGUCAGAUUGUGGUUCUGAAUGUCGUGGGUUCGAGUCCCACUAGUCACCCCA
RNAcentral lists this transfer RNA (77 nucleotides) under Bacteroides caecigallinarum. Its description in RNAcentral is "tRNA-His". It matches the Rfam family "tRNA". Rfam says of the family: Transfer RNA (tRNA) molecules are approximately 80 nucleotides in length. Their secondary structure includes four short double-helical elements and three loops (D, anti-codon, and T loops). RNAcentral also lists the same sequence under 4 other names. The record is from RNAcentral. Lineage: Bacteria; Pseudomonadati; Bacteroidota; Bacteroidia; Bacteroidales; Bacteroidaceae.